RNAcentral lists this long non-coding RNA (1326 nucleotides) under Heterocephalus glaber (naked mole-rat). RNAcentral describes it as "lncRNA (ENSHGLG00100036945.1)". The record is from RNAcentral. Lineage: Eukaryota; Metazoa; Chordata; Mammalia; Rodentia; Bathyergidae.
UAAGUUUGCCACCACAGCUAGCCUCAACCCGGCUACUCUACUCCUGGAAUCUGACAAACAAAUGCCCAUCCAUGAUUGCCUCGAGACUCUUGAAAACUUGAGGGGAGGACGUCCGGACUUGACUUGAUGGACCAGGCCCUCCCCUGCACAGAGAUAACGUUCUAUACUGAUGGGUGCAGUUUCGUUCCUGAUGGUGUAUGGUUUGAUUCCAAGACCCUGGAACCUCGUUGGAAGGGACCAGUUCCUGUUGUCCUGUCAACUUCCUUGGCGGUGAAGGUAGCUGGACAUUCUGCCUGGAUACAUCGCAACCAUCUGAAAACAGGACCCCCCUCCGACAGACGUCAAAAAGGACAAAUGGAAGGUUAUCAGCCAACCAGGCGACCAAAAGCUAAGAUUGGAGCGGGUUGGAGAUGUUUCACCUUCAUGAUAAUAUUCUCUGGGACAUUGGCAGCAUUGCCCCCAAGAGGACUAGAUCACACAAAAAAAUGUAUGGAUUCAAUUGGCAAACUCGCUUAACUUGUCUGAAUUCUGCUGAAAUGUUGAUGUAAAUUUCCAUUAUGUGCUGGGAAGCUGUCUCAUUCUGGUAUGCACCUCUUUAGAAUUAAUACGACCCUAUACCCUAUUUAAAGACAUCCCAGGAAAAAAUUCUUACUUACCUGGAUAGUUAUAAUUGGGGGCAUGACACCUGCCGUAAACCUAAAAAUGCUGUCAAAUUAUAUACACCCAAGGUAAUUAUGUCAAACAAAACUGAAUGUGCUAUGUAUGAAAAUUGUACAACCAAAUGUCUGAGGAUAAAACGGUCAAAAGGGAUGUCCUGCCAUAUAAAACAAAAAAUUGUGUGUAACAAUUGCCAUAUCUCCCUGCCCACAGGAUGGUUUUAUACCUGUGAAGAAAUAACCUUUAAUUAUAUUCCAGCAAAUUUAACCAAGACCCGUUGCUGUCUGAGUCGUCUAGCUGUAGUGUUGCCAGACAGAACUGAUUUGACUGUGCCUAACAGAACUAAACGUUGUUCACCGUACACUGCACCAGGAUGCGAUGACGACUUAGGUCUGUUAACAGAUGCUGAAGUAAUAACCAUGAUAGCAUCUUUUGUUGCCCUGCCUUCUAUAGGAGUCCAUGCUGAAAAGGCAGUAUGAAAAUUAGCUUGCAAGGUGGUCAAAGGGUUAAAUGCUACCUCAUCAGCCUUGGCAUUAAUUAACCAAGAGUUACAGGAACAGAGACAGGCAAUCUUAGAUAAUAGAGCAGCAAUAGACUAUUUGUUGCUCCUCCACCACCAAGGUUGUGAAAGAGUAAAAAAUAUGUGUUGUUUCAAUCUUCCCGAUAAUG